CAGAAACGGGGCUGGUGAAGGGUCUGGAGCGCAAGCCCAAACUCCCUGAAAGAAAGCUGCAGCCAGCGGAGGGGUUCAGCCUCUUGUUGCAGGCAGAAGUGGUUUCAACAGGAUGACAGAAUGUCUCAGAGCUGGCAGUGUCAACUUCCAGCCAAGGAGAGCAACCCUCAGUGGCAUUGCUGAGGCCCAGGAUACAACUCCUGUGUUUGGCAUGGGUCCAUAAGUGAUGGGAAUGGGCACAGGCAGCAGCAGCUGAAAGAUGGGCAAACACCUGAGACACAAUACAAGUGGAGUUUCUGCCUAAAGUCUCUUCCCAUGCAGCAGGAAACCAGCAUGGCCACGCAGACCUUUUAGGACUUUAGACUCUAAAGGCUCAGUUGACUUUAGGUGUUGCUGCAAGCAUCUGUUUAUGUGGGGACUCAGCCAGUCCCUCCUCCCCGUGGCCCCUUCACUCAGGAGGUUUAGCAUGGUCAGUGGGAUGGAGAUGGAGCAUCAGCCAAGCAGUGCUGCACACCCAGAGGCUGGGAGAGGAGGAGGUGGGAGAGUUUUCCCUUGGCAGCAGAACUGCCCUUUAAAAAGUGUCUCUUCAGAAUUUUCAUAACAUUUACACAGUCAUCAAUCACUGAGCAGCAGC
Long non-coding RNA from Passer domesticus (house sparrow), 634 nucleotides. RefSeq lists it as uncharacterized. Lineage: Eukaryota; Metazoa; Chordata; Aves; Passeriformes; Passeridae. The record is from RefSeq and is a predicted model, not a curated record. The transcript is spliced from 3 exons.